RNAcentral lists this ribosomal RNA (301 nucleotides) under uncultured bacterium. RNAcentral's name for it is "partial 16S ribosomal RNA". It matches the Rfam family "Bacterial small subunit ribosomal RNA", at positions 512 to 808 of the family's 1533-position model. The record is from RNAcentral.
CAGUCCCGCGGGAAUACGGAGGGGGCUAGCGUUGUUCGGAAUUACUGGGCGUAAAGCGCACGUAGGCGGCUUGGUAAGUUAGAGGUGAAAGCCUGGAGCUCAACUCCAGAAUUGCCUUUAAGACUGCCGAGCUAGCAGGUGAGAGAGGUAAGUGGAAUUCCGAGUGUAGAGGUGAAAUUCGUAGAUAUUCGGAAGAACACCAGUGGCGAAGGCGGCUUACUGGCUCAUACUGGACGCUGAGGUGCGAAAGCGUGGGGAGCAAACAGGAUUAGAUACCCCAGUAGUCCCUGUCUCUUAUACA